AGACGUCGAUAUUCUGAGCCUGUUUUGAGGGGAGCUACCCACUCUAGUGUAUAGUACCGUAGUUGGAAUACUGGCCCCUCGUAUUCCCGUGUCUACUCGACCGAUAACCAUAUUAAGAUUCUGACUUUCCUACAGUUGACCAUGCAAUACCAUAAAUGACAAAUCAUUCGACUCCAAUAAUAUAACCAUGUUAGAUCGAACUUGCACUUAGCAUAAAACAUGUAACCAUAUAACACAUAACCAAAUAGCUAAUAAACACAUUCAAACCAUUUUCUCCCUUAGAGUUUCUUCUUCAAAUAACUCACAUAAUCGAUUCAAAUUGCAUAAAUAAACAUUCUUAUAAUUCACAUAUAUUAUGCAACGUACACGUACCACAUACCAGAGGUAUCACAUACAAGAGAAGGGGAUUAUCAUAUUAUUUCAUAUAACCACUUUCAUAAUUAUAACAUACCAACGUGAUUAUCUUAUAUGCAAUUCAUGCGUUUUCUAGGUUAUACAUUUAUGUUAACAUAUAAGCAUACGAUAAUCAUAAUAGCACUUACGCAUAUAAUAUAUGAAAUUCAAAUCCACAUUUUCUAUUCCAAAGAACUACAAGGAAAUCUGGCAGAUUCGGCACUUCAACUUUGGAAAUUCAUAUCUCUUAAACCGUACAUACAAACAUUAAUAAAUUUCCACAACACGUUCACAUAUAUGUGAUUUAUACCAUAUUAAAACAGUUCAGUAAAAUACCUAUCCAUGGGAAAGAAAUAAUUCAUUUAGUACAGUAACACCCGCAGAAUUUCAGAACAGAGCAUUCAACUUUAAAAAUACCAAUUAAAUCAUU
Molecule: long non-coding RNA, 823 nt
Filed under: Erythranthe guttata (spotted monkey flower)
Lineage: Eukaryota; Viridiplantae; Streptophyta; Magnoliopsida; Lamiales; Phrymaceae
Description: long non-coding RNA (EGUT_LNC001073)
Source: RNAcentral